RNAcentral lists this long non-coding RNA (614 nucleotides) under Pan troglodytes (chimpanzee). RNAcentral's name for it is "long non-coding RNA NONPTRT005069". The record is from RNAcentral. Lineage: Eukaryota; Metazoa; Chordata; Mammalia; Primates; Hominidae.
UGGUCAUCAAUGACUGACUGAAGAGGAAACAACUUGUAGGCUGGGAGAACCCAAUAUUAACCUAACGACUUGUUUAAAUAAGAGCCCUUCAACAUGAUUUUAGAUAUGUCAGAGAUGUCAAUUUCAUCCCUCUAAAGAAAAUGGAAAACAGCAGUGGUGACUUUAAAAUAUGUUCUGAAGUUAUUUGACAUUACUCUUUUCAUAGGUGGAGCCUAAUUCCACGCCCCUUGAAUAUGGACCACUUAGUGACUUGCUUCUAAUGAACAGAAAGUAGUGGAAGUGUAACCUCCCAGCUAGGUAAUAAAAAUAAUCGCUUCUGCCUGCCUGCCUGCCUGUCUCUCUCCUCUCUCUUCUCUCUCUCUCUCUCUCCUCUCUCUCUCCCCCCCCACCCCUCUCUCAUCAUCUGGUCUGAGGGAAGCCAGUCACCAAGUGUGAGGACACUUAAGCAGCCAGUUGAGAAGUCCAUGUGGAAAGGAACUAAGGCCUUCCUCCAAUAACUAGGACCAACUUGUUAGCCAUGUGAAUGAGUCAUCUUGCAAGCAGAUCUUCCAGCCUCAGUCAGACCUUCAGAUGACUAUAGCCUCAACUGAAAACUUGACUGCAACUUCAUGAGU